GACGAACGCUGGCGGCGUGCUUAACACAUGCAAGUCGAACGGAAAGGCCCCUUUGGGGGUACUCGAGUGGCGAACGGGUGCGUAACACGUGAGUAACCUGCCCUUGACUUCGGGAUAACUUCAGGAAACUGGGGCUAAUACCGAAUAGGAAUCCUUGCUGCAUGGUGGGGGUUGGAAAGCUUCGGCGGUUUUGGAUGGACUCGCGGCUUAUCAGCUUGUUGGUUGGGUAGUGGCUUACCCAGGCUUUGACGGGUAGCCGGCCUGAGAGAGCGACCGGCCAUAGUGGGUCUGACAGACGGCCCCGACUGCGAAGGUGGGCAGCAGGGGGGAAUACUGAAGGAGGGGCGGAAGCCUGAUGAAGCAACGCCGCGGGCGGGAUGACGGUCUUCGGGUUGAAAACCGCUUUCAGCAGGGGCGAAGCUUGUGGUGACGGUACCUGCAGAAGAAGCACCGGCUAACUACGUG
This 465-nucleotide ribosomal RNA is filed under the name uncultured bacterium. RNAcentral describes it as "partial 16S ribosomal RNA". It matches the Rfam family "Bacterial small subunit ribosomal RNA", at positions 28 to 507 of the family's 1533-position model. The record is from RNAcentral.